CCCUUAGAUGUACUGGGCUGCACGCGCGCUACACUGAAGCUAUCAACACGUUUUCCCUCCCUGAGAAGGGCGGGUAACCUUUUGAAUCAGCUUCGUGGUAGGGAUCGGGGCUUGCAAUUGUUCCCCGUGAACCAGGAAUUCCUAGUAGACGCGAGUCAUAAGCUCGCAUCGAUUAAGUCCCUGCCCUUUGUACACACCGCCCGUCGCUACUACCGAUUGAACGUUUUAGUGAGGCAUUUGGACCGACGCAUCUCAGUUUAACCGCUGGUUUGUGUUGGAAAGACUUCCAAACUUGAGCGUUUAGAGGAAGUAAAAGUCGUAACA
Molecule: ribosomal RNA, 324 nt
Filed under: uncultured eukaryote
Lineage: Eukaryota
Description: partial 18S ribosomal RNA
Rfam family: Eukaryotic small subunit ribosomal RNA
Source: RNAcentral